ACACUAUCACCGCCAGGUAUUACGAGCAAAAGCUUAAAACCCAAAGGACUUGACGGNNUCCCACCCACCUAGAGGAGCCUGUUCUAUAAUCGACACCACCCGCUAUACCCCACUGCUUUUUGCAUAUCAGCCUGUAUACCUCCGUCGCAAGCCUGCCAUAUGAAKGUCUUAAAGCAAGCCCAAUGAUUCAYUCACCCCAACGUCAGGUCAAGGUGCAGCCCACAAAGCAGUUCGAAAUGGGCUACAAUUUCUAUAUUAGAACAAACGAAAGGCCACAUGAAAUCUAGCCAUGAAGGCGGAUUUAGUAGUAAANAGAAAAUAGAGAGUUCUUUUUAAUAAGGCACUGGGACAUGUACACACCGCCCGUCACCCUCUUCAACACUCUAUUAAUUGUUAUAUAACAAAUCUUACUAAAUAAGAAGAGGCAAGUCGUAACAAGGUAAGCGUACCGGAAGGUGCGCUUGGCAUAAU
RNAcentral lists this ribosomal RNA (471 nucleotides) under Probreviceps sp. Its description in RNAcentral is "partial 12S rRNA". It matches the Rfam family "Bacterial small subunit ribosomal RNA", at positions 855 to 1533 of the family's 1533-position model. Lineage: Eukaryota; Metazoa; Chordata; Amphibia; Anura; Brevicipitidae. The record is from RNAcentral.